CCUACGGGAGGCAGCAGUGAGGAAUAUUGGUCAAUGGCCGGAAGGCUGAACCAGCCAAGCCGCGUGAAGGACGAAGGUGCCACGCAUUGUAAACUUCUUUUGUCAAGGGACAAAAUCAGGCUCGAGAGCCUGACCGAGGGUACUUGAAGAAAAAGCAUCGGCUAACUCCGUGCCCGCAGCCGCGGUAAUACGGAGGAUGCGAGCGUUAUCCGGAUUUAUUGGGUUUAAAGGGUGCGUAGGGGGACUGUUAAGUCAGCGGUAAAAGCCCGGGGCUCAACCCCGGCGAGCCGUGGAAACUGGCUGUCUUGAGAUGUCGAGAGGUAUGCGGAAUGCGCAGUGUAGCGGUGAAAUGCUUAGAUAUUGCGCAGAACUCCGAUUGCGAAGGCAGCAUACCGGCGGCGAUCUGACGCUGAGGCACGAAAGCGUGGGUAUCGAACAGGAUUAGAUACCCUAGUAGUC
Molecule: ribosomal RNA, 459 nt
Filed under: uncultured bacterium
Lineage: Bacteria
Description: partial 16S ribosomal RNA
Rfam family: Bacterial small subunit ribosomal RNA
Source: RNAcentral